Paramisgurnus dabryanus is the source of this 796-nucleotide long non-coding RNA. RefSeq lists it as uncharacterized. The record is from RefSeq and is a predicted model, not a curated record. Lineage: Eukaryota; Metazoa; Chordata; Actinopteri; Cypriniformes; Cobitidae.
ACCAAUUAUGCUAAUAAAUUGGCACGUUAGCACGUUAUUGUAAUAUCCCAUAGUACAUACAUGUUAUUAAAACUUGAACUAAUGCAUUGUGAGUCUUAUAAAUUGCUUACAUACCUCACCGAUUUCCCACUGUCUGGAAAACGCUCGGUUUAGUUCCUGUCUCCGCCUCCCAAAAUGUCUAGUGUAAUCGGAUUGGUCAGAUGACUACUCAACUGUUAUUGGUCAGCUGGGUUCGGCGUGUGUUUGAAAGGUUACGCCCCUGACUACACGUGGGUUGUCACAGAUUCUGACUGAGAGUCACAGCCUCAGAGGCAUCGUAAACAAGCGUUAUAUUUCUCUAUAAACGAUGGUGUCUGUACUGCCUUACCACUUCGAGCUCGAUCCAGAGAGUUCAGAAGGCCGUUACGAUAUAAACGAUCUCCGUCAAUGAAUGCGAUUGGAUUUAACUUUUUUAGGUGUCCUUAGCUCUGCCAGAAUGCUAAACGAAGACGAAAAUGUGUUGCAAAGACAUCCAAAAGGUUUUAAGGAGAAUGCAACAGGUUCCAGGGCCUCUUACCUGCGUGAUUCAUCAUCCAGGUUUUGCACAAAUUGUCUAAAUCCCUACACACAGAACAUUUAUUGUACCGACUAUAAGCCUUUGAGGUGCAGGACUAGAAUAUGCUUGGAGCUUCCUGAUCGGAAUUUUGGCUUUCGACGACCCCUGCACUGAAGAUGGCAUGCAAUCACGUCCUCCUUUGAAGGUCUCUCAAACUGUGAUGCCAGGUCCAUUGGAAUCGGGGUUUCCUUCAGCUUAUCU